Long non-coding RNA from Hordeum vulgare subsp. vulgare (domesticated barley), 5309 nucleotides. RefSeq lists it as uncharacterized. The record is from RefSeq and is a predicted model, not a curated record. Lineage: Eukaryota; Viridiplantae; Streptophyta; Magnoliopsida; Poales; Poaceae. The transcript has 2 exons.
CUUCUUCCCCACCCAUCCUCUUCACCCCCGCUCUCAUUCCCAUUCCCCGCACCCCUCAAUUGCAUCGGAGCAUUAUUUUUGCUAAAUGGUCCCUUCACAGGAUCUUAUGUAUGUACCAGAGCAUCUACAGCCGGCCCCUGGAUCUGGAACCCGAGUGGAUACCCAUCCCAUCCGGAUCCGGAUCUUGACCGACCCCUUCCCCCGCCGGCGACGAGCCCUAGCUAGCUCGGACCAGUCCUGGUGCGAGAGGCCACCGGCGGCAAGGCUGCGUGCGGUGGCGGAGCAUGCACUGCGAGCGCUCUACUCGGAUCUGACCGAACCCCGUCGCCGCGCCCGUCCCGCUCGCCGUGGCCGAUGAUCGCGCGCGUCGGCUGGGGCCGCGUCCCUCCCCAGAUGGCGGCGAUGAUGGAGGGAGCCGCCGGCACCAGCCCCCUCCCGCCUCGCCGGACCGCGCAUCGGCUUGGAGGCCCCUCGGGACUGCCGCCGGUGCGGGGGGGCGUCCGCGGCCUUGCGGGCUGGGGACCGAGCGGGAUCUGAGCCGCCGUCGAUGGAUUUCUCGCAGCCUGGCUUCGUUUUUCUUUGGAUCCGGUACGGUCCCCAUAUCUCUCUCUCUCUCUCUCUCUCUCUCGGAGUUGACACCACUAGAUCCAAAUCCUAAACCAAAUCAGGGGAGCUCUCGUUGCCGGAUCGCUGGCCUAUCGUCCGGAUGUCCGCCGCGUCAGUUCCCCACAGCUACGGUGCCGCCAGCCACCGCCGUUCCAUUGCCUUGGAUUCGGCUGUGCGCGUGGGCUGGGAACCGUUCCCUGUUGUCUGAUGCGUCGUUGGAGCGGGAGGUUUGGUCGGUCGAGGCCAGGUAUGAGCAGCUCCUGAGCUGGCUGGAUGGAUGGAUGCAGGUCAUGUGUCGUGAACUAACACCACGAUACUUAGGCUGUUUGUAAUGGGAGUAUCAUAAGUAGGCAAUUUUGAUGAUUCUUCAUAGAAUUAAAUGAAGUUGAGUAUGUGUCAUGCAUGGCAAUAAAUGAACCACCCUAUGAUACUAUUAACAGAUUAUAAUAUGCAUUACGGAUGUAGUAUCAUAUGCAUAAUACUAGUAUAUGAUACUCUCUAUUACGACCAGCCUUAUCUGGAACGGAGGGAGUAUACUUUGGAACAGAGGGAGCAACUAGAGCCGACACCCAGCAACCCAGCAACCAAAUCCGGAGCCGUCGCUCGGACCCCGAGUCCACGCACCAGGCUGGCCAACGACACUGUCACCCACAUGGCCAGUGCUGGCAUCCCUCCACUCUCUCUCUCUCUCUCUCUCUCUCUCUCUUUAACCCUAAAACAAAUCAGUCAAGCUCUCGUUGCCAACUCGCUGACCCACCGUCCGGGUGGCUGCCACAUCAGUUCCCUGUUGCCACGGUGCUGCCAGCCUGCCAUUCCACUGCCUUGGAUUCGGUUGUGGCGUGGGCUGGGAACCGUAGAGUUUUGUUCCGAUGUGUCGUUCAAGGCGGAGGUUUGGUCGGCUGACGUUAGGUAUGAGCAGCUCCUGAGACUGUCUAAGUUACUCACCACUAUGACCAGUUUGAUGGAUGGAUGGAUGCUACUGUGUGAUGAAGGCCCUGUUUGGAUACUCUAACUUAGCUAGAGGUUAGAGGUUAAAGUUAGUGCUACUGUGUGAUGAAGGCCCUGUUUGAACGGUAGAGUUAGCAGGAUGGAUGAAUGCAGGUCAUGUGUCGUGAACUAAAGCCACGAUACUUAUCUCGAACAGAGGGAGUAUAUUUUGGAACGGAGGGAGUACAUAUGUAUGUAUGGAUAUCAUGGUCAUGUUGCUUUGGGGUUCAACCUCUUUUUGGAUUAAAAAAGAGGGGCGAUGCCGAUGAUGAUUACUGUGGCUGAAAUAAUCAUGUCUUGAGACAUCAAGACAGCCAUGGCGAGGUGGGACUAAAUAGUGCCUGAAAAUUGGUGUCUGUGUUGGAGUUGCUCUUAGAGCCCACCCUUACCUCUGUUGCAGCCUGUCCAAUUCAUCGCCAAUGUUGGAUGUUCUGUGCCUUGGACGGUCGUUCUGAUGAGUGAUAACCAGGGCAGUUCUCUUACAUUGUGAUGGGUGGAUUAUGCUGCAAGAGAUGUGAGUGUUGGGUUUGAAGAUGAAAUGCAAAACUGAGCCCUCUCUUGCUACGUUACAUAAACUCGGUUCAGUUGCAUUUUGUUCUGGAUCUGGGAUGGAUCCUCCUCCUCUCUCUCUCUCUCUCUCUCUCUCUCUCCCUCCCUGCGAAGAAGAAGAAGAAGAACAAACCAGUCAAGCUCUCAUUGCCGACUCGCUGACCCGUCGUCUGGGUGGCUGCCACAUCAGUUCCCUGAAUCUACGGUGCUGCCUGCCACUGCCAUUCCAUUGCCUUGGAUUUGGUUGUGGGGUUGGCUGGGAACCGUACAGUAUUGUCUGAUGUGUCGAAUGAGCCGGAGGUUUGGUCAGCUGAUGCCGGGCAUGAGCAGCUCCUGAGACUGAGACUAGUCAUAGGUGGGAGUAACUUAGGUUUUAGUUCAAUUUGAACUUGAACUAAAACCACAACAGGAAUUAUGUAACGGAGGGAGUAACAUACAUGCCACAUACGCAAAAAAGGUGGUGUGACAAGUAAUUAAAGAGGAUGGAUGGAUGGAUGUGUGCAUGCAUGUAAUGGGUAUCGUGGUCAUGUUGCUUGGUGUAUAGAGCCCAGCCGAGGGAUCAACCUCCUUUUUGGGAAAAAAAUGAGGGGCGAUGAUGAUGUCACCGGCCGACAUAAUCAUGCCUUGAGCAAUCAAGACAGCUGUGGUGUGUGGGUACUAAUUAGAGCCGGAAUCGGUGACCUCGUUGGAGAUGCCCUUAGAGCCCACCCUUACCUCUCUUGCAGCCUGUUCAAUUCAUCUAUGAUGUUGUAUGUUCUGUGCCUCGGACGGUCGUUCUGAUGAGUGAUAACCAGGGCAGUUCUAUUACAUCGCGAUGUGUGGAUAGCAAGAGAGUGAGUGCUGGGUUUGAAGAUGAAAGAUAAAACUGAGCCAUCAAUUUUUCACCGUUUAGUUGCAUCUUGUUUUGGAUUCGGUAUGGAUCCUCCUCACCUCUCUCUCUCUCUCUCUCUCAAACCCUACGCUCUCAUUGCCAACCCGCUGACCCAUCGUCCGGGUGGCUGCCACAUCAGUUCCCUGUUACUACGGUGCUGCCAGCCUGCCAUUCCAUUGCCUUGGAUUCGGUUGUGGCGUGGGCUGGGAACCGUAGAGUUCUGUUCUGAUGUGUCGUCUGAGACGGAGGUUUGGUCGGCUGACUCCAGGUAUGAGCAGCUCCCGAGACUGUCUAAGUUACUCACCACUAUGGCCAGUCUGAUGGAUGGAUGGAUGCUACUGUGUGAUGAAGAGAUGGAGUUCUUACAGGGGCGAUGAUGAUGACCAUGGCUGAAAUAAGCAUGCCUUGAGCAAUUAAGACUGCUGUGGCCUGUGGGUACUAAAUUAGAGCGCACCCUUACCUCUCUUGCAGCAAUUCAAUUCAUAGCUAAUGUUGGAUGUUCUGUGCCUUGGACGGUCAUUCUGAUGAAUGAUAACCAGGACAGUCCUCUUACAUCGCAAUGGGUAGAUUAUGCAGCAAGCUAUGUGAGUGUCAGGCUUUAAGAUGAAAGGCAAAACUGAGCCCUCUUUCGCUACGCUACAAAUAUUUGAUUUUACCUUCUUUAAUAUGCAUUGUUUUUUUUUUCUAUUCCUCUAUAUUGUGUUGAUGUGAGUAACGGCCCAUCUGGACUUGGAUUGAUGUCUUCUGAACACAGCAUAUUUGUUUCUGUUGUGUGUUGAUGAGUUCUAUUCUUUUCUGAAUGGCUAUGAUGAUUUCCUCCCCUUUGGUGUUGGAGAUCUUUCAACAUAUCCUGAGAUAUAGAUGCUUUCAUGUCUCCUAAAUUGGUUCCAUUCAACUUUGCCCAGUUAGACAGUUAGUAGUUAUACUAGGAAGCCUUGCUCUACAGCAAGUUACCAGUUACGGCUAUUUGUUGCUGGGCGGGGAAAGAGAGAGACAGAGAGAGAUGGUAAGGAGACCUGAAGGAUUGGAAUAUCACCAAAGAACUAGCAAUGAACAGGGGUGCAUGGAAAUUAGCUAUCCACGUGCCUAUCCCAACUUGUUUGGGACUGAAAGGCUUUGUUGUUGUUGUUGUUGUUGUUGUUGUUUGGUACCAUAAGGCUUCAAGUACUACCUGAAGCGUUGUCCAACUUUGGUGAUUUAUGGUGGGUUAAAUCUGAGCCAUUCAAGUAAUACUCUACAAUUUUCCUGGAUUUCACGAACUAUUCCUCGUGCAUGUGUUUGUUAUGACACCUGUGUUUGAUACUUCUACUACUGUUUGAUUAUAGUAAUUUGAUCAGUGAGAACUUCUGGAAUAUCCUCCAGAAAACAGCUUGAUUUCCCUACUAACUUUUCUUUGUUUCUUCUUGAUUUGAAGAAUGCCCGUUUGGCAACUGUGAAUGGUCAUGGGCUCAUUGUGAAAAUUAAGUUAUAUAUAUUCUGUGCAUUGUCGGCCUGUAGCUUGAAAAAGAAACCUGUCAUUACCUAUGGCUUUGGUUUGUCUCAAAAAAAAAAAAAACUAUGACUUUGGUUCUUUGUGUGCACCUUCUGGAAAGGUGAGAUGGUGUGAAAUCUUUUUAUUGAACAAAUUUAAAAGCAGAUUCUUAUUGAUGCCAUUUUUCAGUUUUUUGGUCCAAUUUUCGUAUCCAUUAUCAAUUUUUCAGUUGAUAUUUGCCAUUGUAGUCCUCCUUAACUUCCACCAUUGAUGCUUGCCAUCCCGUCGCCGCGCCCGCCCCGCUCGCCGUGGCUGAUGAUCGCGCGCCUCGGUUGGGGCCGUGUCCCUCCCUAGGAUGGAGUGGGCCGCCGGCGCCGGCCCCCUCCUGCCUCGUCGGAUCGCGCAUCGGCUUGGAGGCCCCUCGGGGCUGCCGCCAGUGCGGGUGGGCGUCCAUGGCCGUCCGAGCUGGGGGCCGAGCGGGAUCUGAGCCGCUGUCGAUGGAUUUCUUGCAACCUUGCUGCGUUUUUCUCUGGAUCCGGUGUCUCAGCAGGCGGAGCUACGAAAUGGCCGACGGGACUGCUUGCCCACCUUCUGGCACGCAGUCGAGGCGUGUGGAGCAGGGCCGGUGGCCGGAGCGGAGCGGUGGGUGGAGCAGCGAAGAAAAUAAAGUGUGCGUGCGAUGCCUCUUUUCGCUUGCUCUGUUUAAAGAAAGAGGUCUGGGGUUCUUUUUUUUUUUUAGCGAUAUGAUUUUUAUAUUGCUUAAUGUGCAUACCGCAGAUCUGGGAUUCUUCUUUUUACACAAAUAAAAUACCACAGUUUUGGCCA